This 303-nucleotide ribosomal RNA is filed under the name Devosia sp. RNAcentral's name for it is "bacterial SSU rRNA". It matches the Rfam family "Bacterial small subunit ribosomal RNA", at positions 487 to 789 of the family's 1533-position model. The record is from RNAcentral. Lineage: Bacteria; Pseudomonadati; Pseudomonadota; Alphaproteobacteria; Hyphomicrobiales; Devosiaceae.
GAAGCCCCGGCUAACUUCGUGCCAGCAGCCGCGGUAAUACGAAGGGGGCUAGCGUUGUUCGGAUUUACUGGGCGUAAAGCGCACGUAGGCGGAUCGUUAAGUCGGGGGUGAAAUCCUGGAGCUCAACUCCAGAACUGCCUUCGAUACUGGCGAUCUUGAGUCCGGAAGAGGUGAGUGGAACUCCUAGUGUANAGGUGGAAUUCGUAGAUAUUAGGAAGAACACCAGUGGCGAAGGCGGCUCACUGGUCCGGUACUGACGCUGAGGUGCGAAAGCGUGGGGAGCAAACAGGAUUAGAUACCCUG